RNAcentral lists this ribosomal RNA (523 nucleotides) under uncultured bacterium. RNAcentral describes it as "bacterial SSU rRNA". It matches the Rfam family "Bacterial small subunit ribosomal RNA", at positions 8 to 524 of the family's 1533-position model. The record is from RNAcentral.
AGAGUUUGAUCAUGGCUCAGAUUGAACGCUGGCGGCAUGCCUUACACAUGCAAGUCGAACGGCAGCAUAGGAGCUUGCUCCUGAUGGCGAGUGGCGAACGGGUGAGUAAUAUAUCGGAACGUGCCCUAGAGUGGGGGAUAACUAGUCGAAAGACUAGCUAAUACCGCAUACGAUCUACGGAUGAAAGUGGGGGAUCGCAAGACCUCAUGCUCCUGGAGCGGCCGAUAUCUGAUUAGCUAGUUGGUGGGGUAAAAGCCUACCAAGGCAACGAUCAGUAGCUGGUCUGAGAGGACGACCAGCCACACUGGGAGUGAGACACGGCCCAGACUCCUACGGGAGGCAGCAGUGGGGAAUUUUGGACAAUGGGGGCAACCCUGAUCCAGCAAUGCCGCGUGAGUGAAGAAGGCCUUCGGGUUGUAAAGCUCUUUUGUCAGGGAAGAAACGGUGGUAGCGAAUAACUAUUACUAAUGACGGUACCUGAAGAAUAAGCACCGGCUAACUACGUGCCAGCAGCCGCGGUAAU